UCCCCGUUAUCCGAGGCGGUUUCACUAGAGUUCCCAGCAUUACCUGAUGGCAACUAGUGAUGGGGGUUGCGCUCGUUGCGGGACUUAACCCAACACCUCACGGCACGAGCUGACGACAGCCAUGCAGCACCUUAUCCCGCGUCUAUUGCUAGAAGGGUAGCUUUCACCACCUGUCACGGGACAUUCUAGCCCAGGUAAGGUUCCUCGCGUAUCAUCGAAUUAAACCACAUGCUCCGCCGCUUGUGCGGACCCCCGCCAAUUCCUUUGAGUUUCAACCUUGCGGUCGUACUUCCCAGGUGGGAUACUUAAUGCUUUCGCUCAGACACACACUGUGUAUCGCGUAUGUCGAGUAUCCAUCGUUUAGGGCGUGGACUAC
This 376-nucleotide unclassified non-coding RNA is filed under the name uncultured Chitinophagaceae bacterium. RNAcentral describes it as "contains 16S-23S intergenic spacer region". Lineage: Bacteria; Pseudomonadati; Bacteroidota; Chitinophagia; Chitinophagales; Chitinophagaceae. The record is from RNAcentral.